RNAcentral lists this ribosomal RNA (495 nucleotides) under uncultured bacterium. RNAcentral's name for it is "partial 16S ribosomal RNA". It matches the Rfam family "Bacterial small subunit ribosomal RNA", at positions 28 to 507 of the family's 1533-position model. The record is from RNAcentral.
GACGAACGCUGGCGGCGUGCCUAAUACAUGCAAGUAGAACGCUGAAGGAGGAGCUUGCUUCUCUGGAUGAGUUGCGAACGGGUGAGUAACGCGUAGGUAACCUGCCUGGUAGCGGGGGAUAACUAUUGGAAACGAUAGCUAAUACCGCAUAACAGUAGAUAUCGCAUGACAUCUACUUGAAAGGUGCAAUUGCAUCACUACCAGAUGGACCUGCGUUGUAUUAGCUAGUUGGUGAGGUAACGGCUCACCAAGGCGACGAUACAUAGCCGACCUGAGAGGGUGAUCGGCCACAAUGGGACUGAGACACGGCCCAGACGCCUACGGGAGGCAGCAGUAGGGAAUCUUCGGCAAUGGACGGAAGUCUGACCGAGCAACGCCGCGGGAGUGAAGAAGGGUUUCGGAUCGUAAAGCUCUGUUGUAAGAGAAGAACGAGUGUGAGAGUGGAAAGUUCACAAUGUGACGGUAUCUUACCAGAAAGGGACGGCUAACUACGUG